AUUAUGGAGAGUUUGAUCCUGGCUCAGGAUGAACGCUGGCGGCGUGCCUAAUACAUGCAAGUCGAGCGAACAGACGAGGAGCUUGCUCCUC
RNAcentral lists this ribosomal RNA (91 nucleotides) under Staphylococcus simulans. Its description in RNAcentral is "partial 16S ribosomal RNA". It matches the Rfam family "Bacterial small subunit ribosomal RNA", at positions 1 to 88 of the family's 1533-position model. Lineage: Bacteria; Bacillati; Bacillota; Bacilli; Caryophanales; Staphylococcaceae. The record is from RNAcentral.